RNAcentral lists this ribosomal RNA (779 nucleotides) under Chauhanellus sp. n. 02 US-2014. RNAcentral describes it as "eukaryotic LSU rRNA". It matches the Rfam family "Eukaryotic large subunit ribosomal RNA", at positions 51 to 639 of the family's 3401-position model. The record is from RNAcentral. Lineage: Eukaryota; Metazoa; Platyhelminthes; Monogenea; Dactylogyridea; Ancylodiscoididae.
UGGGGGACUACCAGGAUUUUCCUAGUACGGCGAGUGACGGGAAUAAGCCCAGCACCGAACCUUAUCCAUGCUUAUGGACAGAGUAAUGUGGUGUUCAAGCUAUAACCUAGAUAGGCUGGUCUACUCGAAGUCCAACUCCGAUUACGGCUUUGGAAUUGAAGCCAUUGAGGGUGAAAGCCCCGUCCGAGUAGAUUUUGAUGCUUAUCCUAGAUGUUAUUGCUUUAGAGUCGGAUUGCUUGAGAAUGCAGUCCAAAGUGGGUGGUAAACUCCAUCCAAGGCUAAAUACUGGCAUGAGUCCGAUAGUAAACAAGUACCGUGAGGGAAAGUUGAAAAGUACUCUGAAGAGAGAGUAAAUAGUACGUGAAACUGUUUGCAUGGAAGCUGGUGGAGUCAAGCUUCUUAGGCUUGGAAUUGGUGCGGAGAAUAUAUAUAUUGUUAAAUGGGCGAAGAGUGUAUCAGCUUGAAAAUGGCUGGAUAGGGUUCUCCUAUUUCAGGCUGUUCAGGGUUGUACGCUUGUAAUGCAUUCUAUAAUUUUGGCCCAUUCUCUUGUACCGUUUCCUUGCCUUAACAUCACGGUCGAUACGCAUAUAUUGUUUGAUAAUCUAACCCUGGCCGUUGUGAAUCUCGGUUCACUGGCCAUGGAAUGGAAAGUGGUGAUAUGUAGACUCCGGUUUACAUGUUUCUUAUUUUUGGUAUUAAAGCCUUGCCGAUUAUCAUUUGUAUUAUAUAAUUAAUUAUGCUUAUCGUUCUUAAUAUUAUUAAUACCCGUAAUGGUUAUU